Molecule: long non-coding RNA, 325 nt
Filed under: Ananas comosus (pineapple)
Lineage: Eukaryota; Viridiplantae; Streptophyta; Magnoliopsida; Poales; Bromeliaceae
Description: long non-coding RNA (ACOM_LNC001326)
Source: RNAcentral
CCCCCCUCCCCUUCAUGCAUUCAUUAAUUUCUUAAUAAACUCAUAUAUGAGCUAGAAUACUAUCAGUAGCAAAUAGACUCCGUUGCUACUAAUUUGUUUUCAAUAAUAUAGCUCCUGAAUUGACGAUCGACAUUGUUGGACAUAAUCUAGCUAGAACACUAAAAAUAUUUAGAAAUUAAAUUAUAUAUUUUUUCGAUAUUAUAAUCUUGUGCAUCAAGUGAACAUUGAACAACUAAAAAUAAGUAUAUAUCCUUUCAAAAAAUGAUGAUAGGAUUAUUAUAAUCAAGAUCAAAAGUAUAUAGAUCUUGUUUUAAAUGGAUUAUAU